Molecule: long non-coding RNA, 391 nt
Organism: Rosa chinensis
Lineage: Eukaryota; Viridiplantae; Streptophyta; Magnoliopsida; Rosales; Rosaceae
Exons: 3
Source: RefSeq, a predicted model, not a curated record
CUUCCAACACCACCACGUCGUUGCUCCGAGAUCCGAACCCCAACUGGUCCAACCUGCCUCCAAGGAGUUUAUCCUCCUCGAUUGGUGCAACUUCGAGCACCAAGUGCCAGCAUGGUUCUAAAGCUCACCUCUCUCUCUCUCUCUCUCUCUCUCUCUCUCGUAGCCCCGCUCUCCUCUCUCUCUCUCUCUCUCUCUGUUUCUCUCUCCGGCACGGCCGCACGACGCCUUUUCUUUCUUCGACGGUGACGCCGUGAUGGACUGACGGUGCGCGUCUGGGUUUGGCUCGAACUCUACUAGGUGAAGCAGCUUCAAUUUCAGUUUUCGACUCGAUUUUGGAAACUUCAAGCUUGGAAACAGUUGGAGGAAACUUCAUUGGUGUUUUUAAUAUGGG